This 271-nucleotide long non-coding RNA is filed under the name Anas platyrhynchos platyrhynchos (common mallard). RNAcentral's name for it is "lncRNA (ENSAPLG00000029628.1)". The record is from RNAcentral. Lineage: Eukaryota; Metazoa; Chordata; Aves; Anseriformes; Anatidae.
AGAGAGGCAGGGAAUAAACCACCAAGCACACCCAAGCUCACUGGGUGCUUACGAGAGCAAUGGACCAAGGACUGUGACUGAGGAGUAGGUGUGUGGGCCAGGAUGCCUGGUAGAGGCUUCUGAAGGUAUGAGGUCAUUUCCCAGCCUUUUUCUGAGUCUCCUGAGAACCUGUAGCUCUGCUGGGGGAACUGCAAGGACAAGGACUCCAAGCAGGAACACAGAGAGUGCACUUUCUUUAUGCCAGCUCAACAUUCAAGGAAACCAAUUUCUC